This 139-nucleotide ribosomal RNA is filed under the name uncultured bacterium. RNAcentral describes it as "partial 16S rRNA". It matches the Rfam family "Eukaryotic small subunit ribosomal RNA", at positions 432 to 570 of the family's 1831-position model. The record is from RNAcentral.
GCGCGCAAAUUACCCAAUCCUGACACGGGGAGGUAGUGACAAUAAAUAACAAUACCGGGCGCGUUAGUGUCUGGUAAUUGGAAUGAGUACAAUCUAAAUCCCUUAACGCGGAUCCAUUGGAGGGCAAGUCUGGUGCCAG